GGAGGAAAAGAAACUAACAAGGAUUCCCCUAGUAACUGCGAGUGAAGAGGGAAAAGCUCAAAUUUAAAAUCUGGCAGCGUUUGCUGUCCGAGUUGUAAUUUAGAGAAGUGUUACCCGCGUUGGACCGUGUACAAGUCUCCUGGAAUGGAGCGUCAUAGAGGGUGAGAAUCCCGUCUUUGACACGGACUACCAAGGCAUUGUGGUACGCUCUCAAAGAGUCGAGUUGUUUGGGAAUGCAGCUCUAAAUGGGUGGUAAAUUCCAUCUAAAGCUAAAUAUUGGCGAGAGACCGAUAGCAAACAAGUACCGUGAGGGAAAGAUGAAAAGAACUUUGGAAAGAGAGUUAAACAGUACGUGAAAUUGUUGAAAGGGAAACGCUUAAAGUCCAGUCGCGUUGGUUAGGAAUCAGCCUUGGUUUUUCCUUGGCGCAUUUCCUAGUCGACGGGUCAACAUGAGUUUUGACUGUUGGAUAAAGAUCAAGGGAAUGUGACACCUUCGGGUGUGUUAUAGCUUUUGGUUGUAUACAACGGUUGGGACUGAGGAACUCAGCACGCCGAAAGGCCAGGUCUUGUACCAUGUACGUGCUUAGGAUGUUGGCAUAAUGGCUUUAAUCGACCCGU
Molecule: ribosomal RNA, 618 nt
Filed under: Armillaria mellea
Lineage: Eukaryota; Fungi; Basidiomycota; Agaricomycetes; Agaricales; Physalacriaceae
Description: eukaryotic LSU rRNA
Rfam family: Eukaryotic large subunit ribosomal RNA
Source: RNAcentral